This 66-nucleotide transfer RNA is filed under the name Hyalopterus pruni. Its description in RNAcentral is "tRNA-Pro". Lineage: Eukaryota; Metazoa; Arthropoda; Insecta; Hemiptera; Aphididae. The record is from RNAcentral.
CAGUAUAUAUUUUAAUUAAAAUAUUAAUUUUGGAGAUUAAUGAUAGUAUACAUAUAUUUAUACUGA